Molecule: ribosomal RNA, 192 nt
Filed under: uncultured bacterium
Lineage: Bacteria
Description: partial 16S ribosomal RNA
Rfam family: Bacterial small subunit ribosomal RNA
Source: RNAcentral
AACUCGCCUGCAUGAAGUCGGAAUUGCUAGUAAUCGCAGAUCAGCAUGCUGCGGUGAAUACGUUCCCGGGCCUUGUACACACCGCCCGUCACACCAUGGGAGUCGGUAACACCCAAAGUUGGUAGCCUAACCGCAAGGAGGGCGCCGCCUAAGGUGGGAUUGAUGACUGGGGUGAAGUCGUAACAAGGUACC